RNAcentral lists this unclassified non-coding RNA (220 nucleotides) under Hevea brasiliensis (rubber tree). The record is from RNAcentral. Lineage: Eukaryota; Viridiplantae; Streptophyta; Magnoliopsida; Malpighiales; Euphorbiaceae.
CCUCAGCAGCCUGAUGAAAUGGAUCUGAGGUUGAAUUUUAUAUUUAGAAUUGACUAUUUUUACCCGAAAAGGUUACAGAUGAUGUAAUAUUUGAUAGAUUAAGGCCCAAUAAGUAUUUGUUCCAAUUUUUGCCUUUGGCAUAACUUAAGCAUGCAAAUUUGCGCCAGAUAUUUUUCCUUAUUUUAUCAUAUUUGUUUUUGGAUAAAAAAAAAAAAAAAAA